UAUCAGCACCUAGCACAGGGUCUGGCACAGAGUACAUUGUCAGUAAAUAUUCAAUCAAUCACUACACCCUCCACUCCAACCCCAGCCAAGCUGAGGCCUCCAGCCCCAGACCCUGAGGCCUCUCAUAACUGUGAUUUCCUGCUCUUUCUGCCUGGAUACACCUUCCUGCUUAAGUAAUUCCUGCUCUUUGAUGAAGGAAGGAAUGAAUCAACGAAAGCAUGAACCAACGAACAAACUAUUAGGAUUUCAGUUAAUUUAUAUGGGAGUCAUGAGGCCUUCCACUGCAUUGGAAAGGCACUGAACGUGUGGCUGGAGAAGCAUUCACGGAGAAAAGGGCCUGGAGUGGGAGCGCUGCCUAUAACAAAGUGGAAUGAAUUUACAAGCAUCCCUGAAAAUGCUUUUGGGAAAUCCUAAAAAGUCUCUGGGAAGAUGAGGGCUACCAAGGAAGAAGAACAAACCAGCUCAGCAGCUGGUACGUCUGGAGAGCCAGGAGAGAAAGACUGAAACAUAUAUGCAAAAGGCAGCACAGAGGGGCAGAGCCAUGAGCCAAAGGACCACGACCCCUGCCACAGACUUGUGGCUUCUGGGCAUGGGCAAGCCCAGUCAGGACAAUACUUGGCCCAUGCCCAAUGGUGGUGUAGUUUCCAACAGUCUCUGGCAGAGGGGAUUUUCAGAAGAAGGUAAACAUAGACUCUGCUGGACUUGAGCUCAGGGGACCCCAAGAGGCCAGACCUGGCCUCAGCACUAGCCCAUUCUGAUGCUACAAUCUCUUGUUCUGAACUAAGUCUGAGUUGACAAUAAAACAUCUUCUUGACAAGACUAACAA
This is a long non-coding RNA of Neofelis nebulosa (Clouded leopard), 826 nucleotides long. RefSeq lists it as uncharacterized. The transcript has 2 exons. The record is from RefSeq and is a predicted model, not a curated record. Lineage: Eukaryota; Metazoa; Chordata; Mammalia; Carnivora; Felidae.